AAAGGAAUAGACGGGGGCCCGCACAAGCAGCGGAGCAUGUGGUUUAAUUCGAAGCAACGCGAAGAACCUUACCAGGACUUGACAUCAUCUGACAGGCCAAGAGAUUGGUCCUUCCCUUCGGGGACAGGUAGACAGGUGGUGCAUGGUUGUCGUCAGCUCGUGUCGUGAGAUGUUGGGUUAAGUCCCGCAACGAGCGCAACCCCUGUAUUUAGUUGCCAUCAGGUAGAGCUGGGCACUCUAACUAGACUGCCGUAGAUAAUACGGAGGAAGGUGGGGAUGACGUCAAAUCAUCAUGCCCCUUAUGUCCUGGGCUACACACGUGCUACAAUGGUCUGUACAACGGGUAGCUAAGCCGCAAGGUGGAGCCAAUCCCAAAAAACAGAUCCCAGUUCGGAUUGCAGGCUGCAACUCGCCUGCAUGAAGUCGGAGUUGCUAGUAAUCGCGGAUCAGCAUGCCGCGGUGAAUGCGUUCCCGGGCCUUGUACACACCGCCCGU
This 495-nucleotide ribosomal RNA is filed under the name uncultured bacterium. RNAcentral describes it as "bacterial SSU rRNA". It matches the Rfam family "Bacterial small subunit ribosomal RNA", at positions 903 to 1397 of the family's 1533-position model. The record is from RNAcentral.